UCUGUAAGCUUUAGCUAGUUUCAUUUAAUCCUAUUAUAUGUGACGAUUGAACUUCAAUCAAAUAAACACAUAAAAGAAGUUUAAAGCUUUCUUAUUCCUCACCUACGGGUAAGUUACUCUCCUUCCAUUGUAGACCUAAGAUAUUUCUAACAGUAUUUAUUUAAAAUUUUUAAUUAUGAUCAGCUUCUAGAAUGGUCUACCUCUUUUUGCCCGCUAAAGUGCAGCAAGCCAACUUCAUUAUUAUAACCUUAUGCAGCAAAGAACAAACAAUUUACUACAUAGUUUCAUUUCCCAAGAAAGCUCAAACAUCUCAGGUAGAUAUCUUGAAGUUAAAAGUUCACUAAUUACAAGAAAAUUCAUGUCCAAACUAAACGAUCCGUAAUCCACUACUGAUGUAUCAAUCUUUCAAGUUGAAGUUAUUUUCAUUCAAAAGGAUGAUACACCAUCUUCAAGAUUACUCAAGAUAAUGUCUUUCUUUGCAUGAUAAAGAUCUAUAAAGUACGAUUAAUGACUUCAAGCAUAUAACAGUACCAUCAGAGUUGAGCAAACAGAAGAACCCACUAAACGUUCUACCAACACAAAUAACAAAUAACCAUGAUAGGCAUAUAUUUUGUUGAACUUAGCUCUCAAAUGAAAGUUCCCCGUUUCUGGUUUAACCAGAGUAUACAUACAUGAAAGAGAAAGAAACUCUACAAAAAGUUGCUUUUUUAUUAUUAAAUAUAUAAACAUAUACCAUGAACCACUUUAAGCACAAUUGUGACAGAAAUAUCAUGGUCAAAUUUGCCAAAAAUAGUUCAAAGCAUGUCAAACAAUGAUCAGCAGCAAGCAUCAGAAAACUAAAUUCCAAGAAGAGAUAUUACAAUUAGUGAGAUGAGACAUCUCAUGAUGCUCAAGAAAUGUGCCCUGCUUGCUGCACCAUAGUGAUUCUGGGCCACAGACACUAGUGUUAAUAUUUUUAAUCUAAAUGACAGUAUAAAAGGCAACACUAAGUAAAACAGCUUAAGUUGUCUAGAAUUUAUUCACAAACAUCAAAUUGCAAUAACAAUAUCUAGGCUUUGUUGAUUUAGCAUUCUUUAAAAGAUUGUAGGACUCAUCACUGGGGCUGCCAAUUUUAAGACAAACAUAAAGAAGACAGUUUCAUAUGCAUCAGGAAGUAAUAGAAACCAAGAUAUUGAUACUACAUGCUUGGCAAAAUAAAACACACAAAAUUGAACUCUUUAAACUGUUCAAAGAAUUGACCAAAUCCAGACCAUAAAACAUUAAUGGAUGUUUUAACUGUUUAUAACUAAAUGCCCUUCAAGCUUUUAGUAAAGGAAGUUAAUAGGACGAGUGUCACCAUCGGAACUGUUCUCCUCAUUUUUCACCAGUAUCUGGUGAUACCAUAAAUAAUGCCAAUCAAACAGUACUUUUUUACUUUUUUCUUUCUUUCCAGCACAACUGGUACAAAAGAGGCUAAUGAUAAUUCCCCAGCACAUUCUCAGACAACUAUGAUCAUUAAAAUUUGUCUCAACUCAUCAACUCGAUUUUACACUCUUGUUAUGCCAACAAGAACACAGUUUCUACUGUUACCUAUAUCUUUCAAAGAAGUAACAAGUUCAACAUCUAGCUUUGUUCGGAUCAGACUAUUAAGGCUUAAUUGACAAAACUUCGCCUAAGGUUUCAAAACAGUACAAGCAAAAUAAUCAAGAAACAGAAGAGCAAUCGAAGAGCAACAAAAACACUGAACCCGUGGUCCAGAAGCGACACACGACCAAGGGACAAAGAAUGCCAGUUUUCGGGCACCAAAUUAUCGGGAAACGGAAGAUCUAAAACCCUAGUCCACGUAUCAAGAAGAACCUAAAUCUGGAGACAGGAAAGCAAACGAAAUGCUUGAUUCAUAAAAAGUAGAUCGAAUAUAACAACAGAUCUGGCAGGAACAAGCAAUUAAGGAGAAAGGGGAACACUAUAAGAGAGAGAUAGAGAGUGGGAGGGUCACUACUCCUGGUAAGCGGAGAGAAGGAAAACAGAGGCGAAGAGCACUCUUCCGGCAAACGACACGAACCCCAUCCCUCUCCGCGCGACAGAAGCGCCUCCGAUCAGACGAUUCUUGGUGCCUUGGUGGCUCAGGAGAGGAUGGGACGAACCCUCCAAAUCCCAAACCCAAAGAACCUCCUCCUCCCUCUGGUCUAAUCUCACAGCUCGCGCCGCGUAGAGAGAGGGAGAUGAAGAGGUACGACCCCCCUCCGACCUGCUCCAUGUGGGAAACUGGUCCAUUAUGUCGAUAAAACUUCAAGAUUGCCACUCUUCCGGUUCGGCCUUCGUUUCUCGCGAAUCGAAUCUGGGCCGGGUCAAAGUCAACAAUUGUAAGCCUUUUGGUCAACAAUUGAUUUGGUUUGGAUCACUUAACAACAGCACAGUUGCUAAUUGUGUAGAUUGGUAUAUUAUUUAUGGUUUUAAUUGCUGUCAUUGUUAUGAUUGAUUUGAAUUUUCAGUCUUAGAUGGGAUGACAUUUCACCAUUAGAUUAUUAUAAUAAAUAUAUAAUUAAUUAAAUUUGAUUAAGAUAAAUAGAUUUAUUAUCUCGAGCUCUAAUACAAUAGGAAUGAUAUCAUAAUCUCUCUUAUCAUAGUCAAUAUGAACAAUAUGAGUUAUGAGAAUUAUCCUUUUGAAAUAGGCUCCGGCACUAAAUAAAUUAGUUUCGUGACUCUAUUUAAUUUUUCAGUUUCAUAAAAUUAAAUAUAAUUUAUCGAAUAUAUCGAAAAUAUAAGAAGUAUUUUGGAACAUAUUAAAGAAUAAAUAUGAAACAAAAACUUAAGCAUUGCAUUCAUUUCAUUCUUAUCCAAAAAGCAUACAUAGAAACAUAUAACCAAAGCUUUGGAUAUCAUAUCAAACACAUAAAAUAUGAAAUUAGAUCAUAAUAUAAUAUGGUCCAUUUAUUUCCACAAAACAUAAAUCUUUCAUGUUUGGGAGCUCCAUCCACCCACGUCUGAGUGAAGUCAUAAGCGACCAACAGAACAUCGCGGGCUCUAAGUAUAACUUCUUUUAUCAUUUCUAACAAAGUUUUACAUUUAUCCUACAAAUCCUAUAGUAUAAAAGGGUAUUGUGAACAUUAAUGAAUCUUAUGUUUGCACUGUUAAACAAAGACCUAAGGGUCUGAUUCAGUCCAUCUCUUAUUCAGUCCACUAAGAGCCCAAGUCCAGCUCUGAUUCAGUCCAUCAGUACAUCUAAUUUUAUUUCAUGAUCCUGAAGAGAACUCAAGAGGAAGCAGAUCUUCUACUCAACAAGAGGAUGGAAGCCAAUUAGUCUGAAAGGUGGCUUCACACUAUCUGAACAAUGCCCAUGAAAGGGAGUUGCAUCUAACACUCCUUUGGAAGUCACAGAGGUUGCCCACCAAAGCUUCAUUCUUCACUGAUCAUAAACAACCUCUUUCACACAUGAACCUGGAUAUGCAGAGCAGCAACCUCUUCUCAUCCAGCUUCUUCCACUUCACCCUGCUAGACUCCAAACCACAAACAAGUUCAAAGAAAAAGUCUCUCAGAUUCAUGCACCUCCCCUGAGGAGGUGGACAUGCAACCAAAGCACCCAAGUAGAUCAAUGGCCACUGUAGAAGUGCACGUUUCCUUCAUCCAUUUCCUCUUCCUCUGUCAUAUUUCUCACGUUCUUGCCCAACUCCCACUCGGUGGCUUUUCUGCAAAAAUCGUUUUAUAACACCAAGUUGUCUUAUACUAUGGAGGGUGACUCCUUAUAGAUCACACUCGGGAGUAUUUUUGCAUGCCACAGGGAGUGGGUGGAUGCACUGAACCUGAAUUAUCCUGAGAAAAAGCUUGGUUGAUGAUGAGGGCUACUCUUCCUAUUGCUUUCAGUUGGAAGAUCAAGUCCAAAAGAGAAUAUUUGCUUUGGUCCAGCGAAGUAUGUGCAAGUAUUUAUCUUGAAGGAUUGCUAGACAACUGCAAGUAUCUGUUCUAGAAUGGGGAUAUAAGAGGAACAGGUCUUCACUGCAUGAUUGGUAGAUGGUUUUGAUUCUAGCAAUUGUUAGAAUGCCAGUUUACUUCUGUUAAGGCAAUCAGUAAGCAAGGAAAAAGGAUGUGUUUCAUUUACUCACUUGUAUUAACAUAAGAGACCAAGAUAAGUCCAUCUACUUGGUUUUUUUGUGGAGGUUCUCUCAAUAGAUCAAUCAAUGAUAGAAUCCCCAUACGCCACCACCAGUGGAGUUCAAGGGUUGUGUGGAGUAUGUAGGUUGCAGUCCUCCUUUAUUAAAGCUGGGCAUUCUGAUGGCUGCUGGUGUAAUCCCCCAUGACAAAUUGAACCUGCAGCAGUUUUGAUUGAUAGCUCAGUGUUGCAUAGCUCACUAAACAUAGUGCUUUAAACCCUAGCAGAUGCAGUCUUGCAACUAAAGGAAUUAAAGCUGGUCGGUCAUUCAUCAGCUACCCAAGACUGAUGAACAACGAAGACCUGUUUGUUUCAGGUGGUAAAUCUCACUUCAGAGUUUUUGAAGUGCUUGAAUCAUCUCUUUUUGCUAAGUGGUAAAUCAAGUGAAGAGAAUUUGCUUCUAUGACUAUGAAUCCUGUGAUAAGUCAUAUCUCCUCGUUAUCAGCAGAAUUUUAUGAACUGAUGAUUCAACAUACACAAAGAAGAGAGACAACAACUAAAAGAUGAUCUUUCUUUGAUGGGGCACAAAAGGCUACAAGACAAAAGAAGCUAUAAUAAACCCAAUCAGCUGCCUCCAUGUAUGACUGGCUUAAUUCCCUCCUUGUUCCCACAAGUUUUGAGCUAUGAUUCCAGAAGGUCCAAGCGCCAACUUCACCUUCACCUUCGCCAAUCACCAUCAUUAGGGGGGUGGGGAGGUCAGUGGGCCACAGAUUGUGAGGUGGUGGCAAUAAAGAUGAGCAUGGAAACAUGUCCUUGUUCUCUGCAUCUGGUACACAUAUAAUAGUGAGGGGGAUGUAUGCUGCCUAACAUUGAACCUUUGUGUUCAAAGAACCACCUGCUCCAAAAAGAGACAUGCAAAGGACAUCAGAUCACUGGGACCACCUCAUCUGCAGCCCCUCGUUGCCUUGUUAUCAUGCUACUCAAGGAACCAACAGUUAUGUGGCUUGGCUCAAACAUGGUGGCAAGUCUAGCUACUCUCUUUUAAGCUAGAGGUGCACUAAUAAUGAGGCUACACCAACUGUAAUCUGUACCAUCUUUCUCUUAUUAGACUGCGUACGAAGUUUGAUUCAAUGAACUGGGUUUAUCUGCAGAUAAUGGGGUCAUCAUCUCAAGUAUGAUCUCAGAUUACCCAACAGGGACAUCAUCAUCAGACAUGAUUAGUUCGAAGACCUUCAUUCUGUGCUAGAUUCUCCCAGGCAGUAACUGGGGCUGCUUAUAAUUUAGCUACUCCAGAUUAAAUCAUGGGUUAUGCAGAUGAAAACUAGAUGAUGCAUCACCUUGAUGGUCUAAAAGAGCAGUCCAAAUUAUCUUUCACCCUAAGGAUAAAUAAAGUAGACCUCUGUAAUCUGAUCCUGUCAUUGUUGGCUUACAAAAACCACAGAUAACAUCAGUAGAAAUUGCCAAGGGAGACUUUUUGACUGUGAAAUUUCAGGAAAACCAAAGUAAAAGAGGUCAAGAAUGUCAAAGGGCCGCUGGACCAGCUUUUCUGGGAAUAUUUUCGCUCUUCCUACCUCCUGAAUUCAAGGGGAUCUGUAUGUGGACGACUUCUUCCAAAAGCAUCUCAUGUCCAUUGCAAGAAUUGACAGAUCGGAACAAGUACUACUGGCAUCCAAGGUUUGUUUCCAUCCCACCAAUCUAGAGAUACUGACGCUGGACACUUGUCCUCAGCAGCAGUGAAAGAUUUGGGCUAUAGUUCACAAGAAGAAAGCUAAAUCCACACUUCAGCUCUCCAGAUUGCAGAUCUCCUUCCCUCUGUGUUUUAUUUCCUUCCUCCUCAUGUGAACUUGAAGGAACAAGAAUCUUCUUUCACUUUUAUACACUGUAGUUUGUACAUGUGGUCGAUCCAGCAACUCCCAGCUUAGGUGUUCCUGAUUCAUCACUUUGUGAAUGCAAUGAGAGGGCCACCUGCCUGAGUUGUCACCCCACAGCCAUGGAACACUGAACCGGGAUACAAAGCUCUCUAUUUGUCCUGCUCCCAUAGAGAGAGAGAAAGAGAGAGAGAGCGCGACUGGUAGCUCCAUAUCCAAGAAGAUGGCAUGCAAAUCUUCCAACUUAAACUGUCAUAACAGUGACGGCACCUACUCGAGAUAAGGAGCCCCCUCCGACCCCUUCCCGGUGACGUCACCAUGCCCAUCUCACGGGUGCUGUGAAUGACCGCGCCGCCGGGCGUGACCGACACACGUGUCUCUUUUAGCCAAUACCUCGGGUGGCCCCCACCACGAAUCUUUUCGGCCAGCUCAUACCUUGAACGUGGCCCCCAGUCAAUCUAUCCAUCUAGUUCUAAGUAUAAAAGGGUGCGGGUCGGAGGCGUCGAAUUGGCAUAGCUCGAGAAGAAGCAAGGAGGUGGGCGAAACCCUGCGCUCUGCCUCGUUCCUCCCUUUCCUCCCUAUGGACUACUACCUCUUCGACUCCCUGAACCACGAACACUCGCCGGAAUCCUCCACCGGUUCCACCGAGCCCUUUCCAUGGGCCGGCGUUGGGCUGUUCUACCCGGACGUUCCUCUCCCUUUCAACAUGGAUGACUCCGAGGAGAUGCUGCUGCUCGGAAUGCUCGCGGAGGCCUCCGGAAAGGCGUCGUCCUCGUCGGAGGCCUGCGACCGGAGCGUGAUCCGGGCCAAGGAAGAAGAGGUGGAUUCGCGGAGCAAGGCGGCGGAUGAGCCGAAGGAGAAGUCGUACCGGGGGGUGCGGAAGCGGCCGUGGGGGAAGUUCGCGGCGGAGAUCAGGGACUCGACGCGGCACGGGAUACGGGUGUGGCUGGGGACGUUCGACAGCGCGGAGGCCGCCGCCCUGGCGUACGACCAGGCCGCCUUCUCGAUGAGGGGGUCGAUGGCGGUGCUCAAUUUCCCGGUGGAGCGGGUGCGGGAGUCGUUGAACGGCAUCAAGUGCUGGAAGGAGGAGGAGAAGGUGUCGCCGGCGGUGGCGCUGAAGAGGAGGCACUCCAUGAGGAGGAAGUGGAUGAACAAGAAAGCAAAGGAGAGUGAGACGAGCAGCAGCAGCAGCAGCAGCGUGGAGAGCGUGCUGGAGCUGGAGGACUUGGGAACAGAGUAUUUGGAGGAGCUUCUGAGAACAUCAGAAGUAGCCAACACUUGCUGACUUCUUCCAAUCCUUCUCCACCGCCAGUCUCCCCUGUUCCUCCUUUUUUCCUAAGGGAAACCCCUCACUUGUUCCUUGUAUUCCUUUCUUGGUUUGUUCUUUCAGUUGUCCAAGUCAGGAUGAUCUUUUUUACUUGGCUGUGCUUGGCAUGUGCCAUACCAAGAUAUCUCGAUAUCUUAUUUCCCUGCUGCAAAUCAAUAUAGCUUUUGAUCCUGUAAAACUGAUAUUUUUGUACAGGUCAAACACUAAUCUUCAAGCAAUAAUUCUCUGCACUUCCAAAUCUGGCCCAACAUGUCAAUGACAACUACUAUUACUUCUGCUACCCUUCUCUCCAUUGAAAUAUGUAUUUUGUUAAACAAAGAGACUGAUACAACAACAAGAAAAAGACAGAUCACCAGGCAAUGGACUGACAUCCAACACUUUGGAUGCUGAAUCAACAGAACUAUGCACCAACUGUAAGAGGACAUAUUUAUGUGCCAUGACUGAUGAGGUUUCAAAGCCUCGGGCAGGCGGGAAUUCACUCUCUCCUCAGCAGCUGCCUCCCAGUUCUUCUCAAGAAGAAUUCACCUGUAAUACAAAAGAGUUCUAUCAUUGAAAGAUCAUGUCCCAAGUUGCAGAAAUGCUUCACUACAAGCUAAUCUGAAUAACUUGUUAUAAAUGCAUGUCUCCUGCUCAUAAUGAUAUUUAGGCUUGCCUAACUUGGUGUAUAUGCAUGGCUUAAUGUGUCUUACAUCUGCAGUUAUAUAAUAUAUUGGUUCUUCAUGAGAUUAUGUCUGAAGCAGAAACAGAACAAGAUAAACACAGAUGAAUUCACAAAGAUCUCAUGGAUUAUGGAUUUUUAAGAGCUUUAAUAUCUAGUCGUCAAAGUUUUCUGUAAGACCUAAAUGCCUGUGUUAAAUACUACUCGGUGGAUGAAGUUUGACUUAAGUAACACAAUAAUUCCGAAGUGCUAUAGCAUAGGAGUAGAAUUCCAAGUUGCCAUCAUUCUAUCCAAGACAAUGUUGACUCCUCCAAGUAAUACGGAGAAAAUGAUGCAAUAGUUUUAGUUUUAUCAUGGUAAAGUAACAUGAUCUAUUUAUGCCACGUACUUGCCCUUAGGUAAGAAGUUCUCACAUUAUGGUGAUUGAUAGGUACCUGGCAAUGGCACCCAUCACAUUGAUCAUGUAUCGUCAACAAUAAGUGUUAUUGGUCAAAGCUAGUUACAGUCAUGAUAAACUCUCUGCAAGCUUCAUAUAAGAUCGCCUUUUUGGUCAAGGAUUUCAUGUAUCAUUUUGGUGUUCAAGUGAAUCAAGCAAAUUACAUCACUGCCUAAAAACUCAGUACAAAUACCAGGAUGGUUUUUUUCCUUUUGAGGAAGCUAAAUCAUCAUCUAGAUAAUUUUUUUACCAUAAACAGAACAUUUAUCUUACCAUGGAGAAAAUUUUGCACCUUUUCUCUUUAGUUUUUGGCUUAUUACAACUGAAGUAGGAGACUGGUUGUCAAAUUUGAAAUGAUCUCUUAUGCAGUUCUUUCAAAUGUGAGAAUCCUAGUUUCCUACUCAAAAAGUUUGAGCAGCCAUGGUGCAAGAACUAGUGUCGUCUUUUGUAAUAUCUUCAAUGCCUCACAUAGCAUCUUGGAAACUUCUACAAGCAAAGAUAAGCCUCAUCAUAUGAUAGUAGGCGGCAAGAUAUUCAAUUUGACGUCUCUUCCUUGGUCAUGCACAAAAACACAAGAACUUCGAAUGGAAUUUGCGAGAUGAUGCAAGAAUCUUGGUGUCACUCGCAACAACAACCACAGGAUUCAAAUGCACCAAGAGUCAGAUGAAAGCUCACGCUUAUUUCUGACCAUGCAUAACCCAACAUGCCAUUAAGACACAACCACAUUUUAAACAUGCUGAAGGAAGAUAUCAAUUCCCAAAUUGUUGUAGAAACAGGACCAUUAUCUAUAAUUGUGUCAUUUUCUGAGGGUGUUUCCUUCACACGAAGCUUCCUUUGGUCUUGGAAAGUUGAUAACAUGAUUGUGCAGCAGAAAGCUUCUCUCAAAAGAUUUUGGCCAGGAUGACUAUUCAGCAACAUCAUAGUCUCACUCAGACAUUGACUCAAGACAUUUUCUCUACCUUUGGUUUUUUUUUUCUAGCAAAUAAGGGACAUCUUUGAUAACCAUUAUUCAAUUAACGCAUCUCCAUCUCUCAGGAUCUCUAAAGAUUAAUAUAAGAAUAUCCGUCCGUUGUCUUUUGACUAUGCUUUUCAACCUUUAGGCCCCAACGUUUCAGCUUGAACGACACUUGUGGGGAAGCCCUACCAUUUGAAGAUCUAAUUCUCAUGAACUUUUGUUACUCAAGUUGACAUUCUUGAAUUUGCUUUUUCAAAUACUAGCUUGUGUUGGUGUCUCACUCUAAGAUGGAACAUUCACGUACACAUGUAUUUUUCCAUGGCAUAAUUUCAGCAGAUCAUUUAGCCCAGUUCAUUUUAACAUAAAAGUAAAAAGGUAAUUAUUAUUUGAACAAAUGCCUGAUUGUUUCUACAUCCUUAAGUCCGUGAUUGAGUGGUCAUCUAAGGUGCCUUAUCAAAACUAAUUGAACUCUUGCUGAAUCAAUUUUGGUUACUGAAAUCAGCAUUCUUGCAUCUGUUUGUCCAAGCCAGUUGUGGAUGUGCCUUGCUCGAUGGUGGAAAACUUGCCUUCCAAUGUAUUUAUUCCAUUCUAUAAUUUUAACAGAUCAGUGUAGUACCAUUCAUGUUGGACAUAAUAGUCCAAAAGUAACUAGUUCUAGACAAACUCAUGACUGAUUCUGCAUCCCUGCAUCCAUCACUGAGUGGGUAGUUCGAAGUGUCUUGAUGACGACCACAUUAUUUGAUAUUUCAGUCCAUUAUUUUAAAAUUUGUGCCUUUGCAUUGGUGCUUCUUACAUGAAUUAUCCUUUGGGCUUAACUAUUAUAGUUUCGAGCAUGAAGUGUAGGCAAAACUUCAAAUAAGUUUUAAUUUUCUCAAGGCCUUUCAAAUACCCCUAAUGUUAUAACUCUUAUUGAGAAACAAGAAAAAUACCAAGUUGUCUUGCUGAACCAGAAAGCAGCAUUUUAUUUUCCAGGAGAUCAAAUAAUUUUUUAGGAGAUCUUCAUUUCUUUCUUCUUCUUUCGCAAAGGUAGUACGAAUCAAGUGCAAUGAUUUUUUUUUCCUGCCUUGAAAAGCGACAUAUGAGUUCAAUAACUUGGUAUUGUAGUAUCCAUGAACCCUGUAACUAAUUAUGAUUUGUUCUCAUUGUAGUACUGAUUUUUUCUCUCUCUUUUCUUUUUCUUUGUUGUUCUCCAGGACAUCACUUUUGGACUUAACUACAGUAUUGUAAUUCAUAUCAAAAUUAGAAAUAACAACUUAAAACUAAAACAAGUUGCAUUGAAAGCCACCACAUGUACCAAAAAGCUCUAGAAUUCAGAAUUCUAUAUGAUUUUUGAAAAACGUUAUGUAGAUACAUGGUGGUAAAAGGGGCUAAUUCCAGAUUACCCCUUGUAUUUGGACCCUAUUAAUAUCGCGGUCCUUGCACUUAAAAUUUAUAAUGAGAUCCUUAUAGUUCUAAAAGUGAAACAAAUGACCCCAUUUUCCUUAACGUCAUUGACUGCACUGACAGAAGAUAUUGCACGUGGAAUCAUGUGCUGGAUUGGCAAAAAAUCUAUAGGCAAAACGGUAAUUUCAAUGUCCCUUUCAUUUCCUUUUGUUUUGCCCAAAUUAAAAGGUAAUUUCAACAUAACGACCAAUACUACCGGACGUUGCCAUCUCUGUCUCCACCUACUCUGUUCUCUGUCCCAAUAAGCAAAAAAGAGGCUCAUUUCUCUUUAUAGGAUUCAAGCACAAGAGACAAUUUUGUGUAAUAACAUGACUCAGAAUGUUGUCUUCUCUUAAAAGCGAUUAUACUGAAACCACAUAAAUAAUCUCCAUAUAAACCCAAUAUAAUAACAUGUCAUGUAAUCUAUCACAACAAAACAUUUUCAAACCAUCCUCAUCAAGCAGAUAAGUUGUGGCUACUGUUCGGACAGGAAAGGAGAGCAUACUCUUGUUGGACAUUGUAGUGGCAGCAAUAGCGGUCACUGCAUGGCGAAUGAAGACACCGCGAGAGCUCACGAAAGGGACGGAACUGGAGGCGAGGACAAAGAUGGAAAGAGUCAUGAAGCAUGGGAGAAGAGGAGGGGAGAUGGAGGAGCGGAGGUAAGCUCCGGAAGGGGCUACGAGUGGACGGGGAGGCAAGCAGCAGAGGGUGACAGAGAGAUGUUGAAAUUACCUUUUUGCCCA
RNAcentral lists this long non-coding RNA (11475 nucleotides) under Musa acuminata (dwarf banana). RNAcentral's name for it is "long non-coding RNA (MACU_LNC006764)". The record is from RNAcentral. Lineage: Eukaryota; Viridiplantae; Streptophyta; Magnoliopsida; Zingiberales; Musaceae.